UACAUGUUGUGCAACUUUACAUUAAAAAUCCAGCUCUAUGUGUGGUCUUUGAGAUCUCAACCAGCUACAAGAGUGGGACACGUAUCGAUUCGGGUCUGAGUUGCGUCUCGUUCGGCAAAAAAUCAAAUAGCAGAAAUACCUAAAUAAAAAUUAAGGAAGGGUAUCAAGGUAUAACAGGUACUAAAAAAUAAAAUUUUCUGGACUCCAUAAAGAAAUACUCAAACAAGAAGCAUUUGCCCCAACUUAUAAUAAAACCAUACUUGUAUUUGCUUUUUAGAAAAAGUUGAUUACAAAUAUUCCAAAACAUUGAUAAAAUGAAUUGACCUCAUUACUUUAAGAGUUAGAGUCAGCAAAGUUAGUCCAGAGCCGCUAACCAUGGAAAACUUAAUAUUUAUCAAGCUUUGGGCUUAUGAACCCAGAAGCUAAAGAAUUUGCUAGAAAACGAUUUACACCUAAAUGUUAUUAGAUCGCAUAUUGUUUAUCUUAAACAAUUUUAUAUAUUUUUAUGGCUUCAAUUUGUUGUUCGUUACCACUGUGCGUGACUUAUACUCAUAAUAUGCCAAAGUUGUCACUUUGUUUGCUGUUGGCUACUUUUUCGGUAACAGUGUUGGGCAAUACACUUCACAACGGACCGCUCCAAUGCCUUGCAGCUUCCCACUACACGCUGGCAAGAAACUAUGUGUAUGACUAUCAAACUGUCAAAAUUAUGACAUUUGAAAUUUCACGUAACGUAACAUAACCGGACAAGAAAGCUGCCAGCAAGAGAUCCGUGAAAAACCCCCCGCGUAACCGCCCUGCCAAAGACCAAAGCCACGAACCAAGUGUUUCAAGUGUCAAGCGCACUGUUUGUUUGUCGGUUUUUGGUUUUGCUUUGGGAUAUGAAAUAUUUUCAAUUACAGUUCGUGCCAAAACUCUAGAGAUCAAAUUGUUGUGCACAGACGUGUCUGUCGGGCUGCCCGUACUGGAUCUGUCAAGAGUGAGCUAAGCGAAAAAAAAAUAAUCAUUAUAUGUACUUAUUCAAAUUGUUCAACAUGAGUUGUGCCUCUUAUUACAAAAAUAAAAAAUAAAAAGACAGCGUUCGGCGAAAAGUUUGCAGCUCCAGAAACACGCGACAAAAAUAUAAAA
Molecule: non-coding RNA, 1125 nt
Organism: Drosophila virilis
Lineage: Eukaryota; Metazoa; Arthropoda; Insecta; Diptera; Drosophilidae
Source: RefSeq, a predicted model, not a curated record